GAUGAACGCUAGCUACAGGCUUAACACAUGCAAGUCGAGGGGAAACGACAUCGAAAGCUUGCUUUUGAUGGGCGUCGACCGGCGCACGGGUGAGUAACGCGUACCCAACCUGCCCAUCACUUGGGGAUAACCUUGCGAAAGUAAGACUAAUACCCAAUGAUAUCUCUAGAAGACAUCUGAAAGAGAUUAAAGAUUUAUCGGUGAUGGAUGGGGAUGCGUCUGAUUAGCUUGUUGGCGGGGUAACGGCCCACCAAGGCAACGAUCAGUAGGGGUUCUGAGAGGAAGGUCCCCCACAUUGGAACUGAGACACGGUCCAAACUCCUACGGGAGGCAGCAGUGAGGAAUAUUGGUCAAUGGGCGAGAGCCUGAACCAGCCAAGUAGCGUGCAGGAAGACGGCCCUAUGGGUUGUAAACUGCUUUUAUAAGGGAAUAAAGUGAGAGUCGUGACUCUUUUUGUAUGUACCUUAUGAAUAAGGACCGGCUAAUUCCGUG
Molecule: ribosomal RNA, 492 nt
Filed under: uncultured bacterium
Lineage: Bacteria
Description: partial 16S ribosomal RNA
Rfam family: Bacterial small subunit ribosomal RNA
Source: RNAcentral